AUGACGUCAAGUCCUCAUGGCCCUUAUAGGUGGGGCUACACACGUCAUACAAUGGCUGGUACAAAGGGUUGCCAACCCGCGAGGGGGAGCCAAUCCCAUAAAGCCAGUCGUAGUCCGGAUCGCAGUCUGCAACUCGACUGCGUGAAGUCGGAAUCGCUAGUAAUCGUGGAUCAGCAUGUCACGGUGAAUACGUUCCCGGGUCUU
Molecule: ribosomal RNA, 204 nt
Filed under: uncultured Comamonas sp.
Lineage: Bacteria; Pseudomonadati; Pseudomonadota; Betaproteobacteria; Burkholderiales; Comamonadaceae
Description: partial 16S ribosomal RNA
Rfam family: Bacterial small subunit ribosomal RNA
Source: RNAcentral